UACAGUCUACCUCUAUGUGGUGACAACAGUGAUAGUGAUGACGCAGGUCAGAAGAAAAUAAAAGUUUAUAGAUCUCACGUCUAAUUGGGAAAUAAUCAAGCUGAGAUUUGGAACUACAGUUCCCACGAUGCUUUGGGGGAUGUAAACAGGAAGUAUAAUGUCGCCAUGCAGUCAGUUAAGUUAGCCGUGGGCUCCGACUUGUCCCGUUAGUUUGGCCUAUAUUUGUUUACAAUUUGCAGCAGUAAAAGUAUGCGGAAUUGGCUAUUAGCAGUUCGUGUUUCCAGCGCACCCAUGGAAGAAAAGACAACUGCCGCUGCGUCACUCUGAUACUGAAGACAACUUAAAAACGUGACGAUUCUCAGGCAAGUUCUGGAGUUAUAAGGAGCAUCUCUUCACUAUGAUCUCUCAGCGGAUUUAUGGACGUUUAUCUGCACAGGAAUCGGAUAUCUUCGGGAAGUCCUGCCAGGACCUGCAGCACCAGCCGGAGCCUGCGGUCCAUGGCCUGGAGGUGAGGCUGGAUGAGGACAGGGGACAGUCGGUCGCGCAGCAGAGACUCCUCCAUCAUGGAGCUCAGCUGGUAGUCCUCUUUGGCCAGCAGCUGGAGACGCAGCAGGACAAACAAACAAAAAAGUUGACCAAAAGUCUGACCUGCAGCACUGGCUGAGGGGCACCAGGAUGGACAACUCAUCAUGGGAGUGUUUUCCAAACCUACAAGAUCAAAAGACACAAACAAAACUCUAUGACAGCUGUUCAGACUAAUGCUUUGUUAGUUGUGAUGGAAAAUUCUUGGAUAUUGUUUUAUAUUUAAGGAGCGUCUCCAGGGGUUUCUCCAGGUCUUGCGUUUGGCCAGGUUCAGGUCUGGCAGGAAAGCUGCGAGUGAGCCUUCGAUCUGGUCUGGUUUCCCGCACAGAGCAUGCUCAGUGGAGCAGUAGUAAGAGCAUUCUCC
Seriola aureovittata is the source of this 946-nucleotide long non-coding RNA. RefSeq lists it as uncharacterized. The transcript has 4 exons. NCBI's taxonomy places the organism in Eukaryota, Metazoa, Chordata, Actinopteri, Carangiformes, Carangidae. The record is from RefSeq and is a predicted model, not a curated record.